Molecule: ribosomal RNA, 497 nt
Filed under: uncultured bacterium
Lineage: Bacteria
Description: partial 16S ribosomal RNA
Rfam family: Bacterial small subunit ribosomal RNA
Source: RNAcentral
GACGAACGCUGGCGGCGUGCCUAAUACAUGCAAGUUGAGCGCUUAAGGUUGGUUCUUGUCCCAACUGGAUGAGCAGCGAACGGGUGAGUCACGCGUGGGUAAUCUGCCUUUGAGCGGGGGACAACAUUAGGAAACGUAUGCUAAUACCGCAUAUAAACUUUAAACACAAGUUUUAAGUUUGAAAGAUCUAAUUGCAUCACUUAAAGCUGAUCCCGCGUUGUAUUAGCUAGUUGGUGAGGUAAAGGCUCACCAAGGCGGUGAUACAUAGCCGACCUGUGCGGGUGAUCGGCCACAUUGGGACUGAGACACGGCCCAAACUUCUACGGGAGGCAGCAGUAGGGAAUCUUCGGACAGGGACGAAAGUCUGACCGAGCAACUCCACGGGAGUGAAGAAGGUUCUCGGAUCGUAAAACUCUGUUGGUAGAGAAGAACGUUGGUUAGAGUGGAAAGCUCAUCAAGUGACGGUAACUACCCAAAAAGGGACGGCUAACUACGUG